GUAGGUGGUUUGUCGCGUUGUUCGUGAAAUCUCACGGCUUAACUGUGAGCGUGCGGGCGAUACGGGCAGACUUGAGUACUGCAGGGGAGACUGGAAUUCCUGGUGUAGCGGUGGAAUGCGCAGAUAUCAGGAGGAACACCGGUGGCGAAGGCGGGUCUCUGGGCAGUAACUGACGCUGAGGAGCGAAAGCGUGGGGAGCGAACAGGAUUAGAUACCCUGGUAGUCCACGCCGUAAACGGUGGGUACUAGGUGUCGGUUUCCUUCCUUGGGAUCCGUGCCGUAGCUAACGCAUUAAGUACCCCGCCUGGGGAGUACGGCCGCAAGGCUAAAACUCAAAGAAAUUGACGGGGGCCCGCACAAGCGGCGGAGCAUGUGGAUUAAUUCGAUGCAACGCGAAGAACCUUACCUGGGUUUGACAUGCACAGGACGCCGGCAGAGAUGUCGGUUCCCUUGUGGCCUGUGUGCAGGUGGUGCAUGGCUGUCGUCAGCUCGUGUCGUGAGAUGUUGGGUUAAGUCCCGCAACGAGCGCAACCCUUGUCUCAUGUUGCCAGCGGGUAAUGCCGGGGACUCGUGAGAGACUGCCGGGGUCAACUCGGAGGAAGGUGGGGAUGACGUCAAGUCAUCAUGCCCCUUAUGUCCAGGGCUUCACACAUGCUACAAUGGCCGGUACAAAGGGCUGCGAUGCCGCGAGGUUAAGCGAAUCCUUUUAAAGCCGGUCUCAGUUCGGAUCGGGGUCUGCAACUCGACCCCGUGAAGUCGGAGUCGCUAGUAAUC
This 774-nucleotide ribosomal RNA is filed under the name uncultured Mycobacterium sp. Its description in RNAcentral is "bacterial SSU rRNA". It matches the Rfam family "Bacterial small subunit ribosomal RNA", at positions 571 to 1343 of the family's 1533-position model. The record is from RNAcentral. Lineage: Bacteria; Bacillati; Actinomycetota; Actinomycetes; Mycobacteriales; Mycobacteriaceae.